AAAAUUGGUUCUAUAAAAUUUACUUUUCGUCAAACUCCUAUCACUCACAUCUCUCACACUCUCAAACAUAUACCACCUUCACCAUCAAUAUCAUCAUCUUGUUUAUCUAAACAAUUUCUAAGUUUUUCAAUCUCCUCCAAUUUCGUGUAAUCUUAAUGCGCUUAAUUCAAAUCCUUGUGAAAUCUCCUUGCGGAUCUGUAGAUCUCCAUUCUAGAGCUUGAGCUAGAAAGAACAGGACAUAAGGUAAGGGUUUUUUCUUCAUAUAUUCAUACAAGUGGUCUGGGAACUAUCAAACCGAUUUUGUGAAGUUCAAGAUCCGAAAAACCAUUCUUAUUAGAGAAGAUUGAGAAGGAACUUACUUAUCAACCAUGGUUCGAUGAAUUAUAUUUCCCAGAGAAAUCUGAGAGGGGAAUGGAUAGAAGUUAAGUCUCAAUUUCAUUACGGUGUGACGGUGAUUUCCAACUAAUAUGUGAAGUUGGUCCAUCAAGUUCGACAAAAAGUUCUUCUAUUCAAGUGGAAAUUAUAGCAAUGAAAAAUAAACCCAAGUUAAGCUCACAUCUUGCAUUUAUGUCAUAUGCUUUUUUGUGGCUUUAAACAAGACAAUGAUUCAUUACUAAAAGUGUUGAUAGGUGAACUACAAUCAAAGGCGGCGACUCUGGUGGAUCCAAAUUCUAAACUUGGAGAGACUCGGACAUGACGGGAAAAAGGAAAGAUAUAUAUAUAUAUAUAUAUAUAUAGUGCAGUUCCUUCUUAAGGAACCAAGGUCAAUAUGCUUCCUAAUAAUAAAUUCACUUAGAUAGAACUAGCUCGUAGAUAUCUAUGGUGGCCUUGUCUUAUUGAUGAAUGAUCACAUGGGUUUUCAAAAAUUACCUUUGUUUUUGGGAAUUGAAAAUAAUGGUAAUUUUCAAAGACAAAGGCAUCUUCUGAAGACUCAAUGUUACCAUCCAUUGAUAAGAAUGUCUAGAUAUAUCUAAGAUCUUGUUCUGGCUCAGUCAAUUCAUUUAUAGUAACAAUAUUGGCAUUGGUUCAUUUAGCAAGAACUGCAUUAUCCAUAUCUUUCCUUUUUCCCCUUCUUGUUCCAGCUUCUUCAGGUUCAGAAUUUGGAUCCACCUGAGAAGACACCUUUGAUAUUUAGUUCACCUAUUAGCACUCUUGGUAAUAAAUUACGACCCUUGGUCAAAGCCACACCAAAGCAUCUGACAUAGGUGAAAGAUAUAAGCUUAACAUGGAGUUCCUCUUUCAUAACUUUUGUAUGCCCUUGAAUAAAAUAACUUUAUACCGAACCUGAUAGCUUAACUUGGGCUUCCAUUGUAAUGGUUGAUAAUUUUUUUCCAUAUUGUGGGGAAAUAUUGUACGGAUGCUGUCAAAAAGGCACCUGGUUCAUUGUGUGAUCACUAUCUCUAUUGUAAGAGUUUAAUGUUACUUCUAUUGCAAUAGUUGAUAUUUUUUUCUCUUUUAAUAUUAUUGUACAACGAAGUUCGGAUGUUGUAAGAA
Molecule: long non-coding RNA, 1494 nt
Organism: Medicago truncatula (barrel medic)
Lineage: Eukaryota; Viridiplantae; Streptophyta; Magnoliopsida; Fabales; Fabaceae
Exons: 3
Source: RefSeq, a predicted model, not a curated record